This 746-nucleotide ribosomal RNA is filed under the name uncultured bacterium. RNAcentral describes it as "bacterial SSU rRNA". It matches the Rfam family "Bacterial small subunit ribosomal RNA", at positions 33 to 773 of the family's 1533-position model. The record is from RNAcentral.
ACGCUGCGGCAGGCCUAACACAUGCAAGUCGAGCGGCAGCACGGGUACUUGUACCUGGUGGCGAGCGGCGGACGGGUGAGUAAUGCCUAGGAAUCUGCCUGGUAGUGGGGGAUAACGCUCGGAAACGGACGCUAAUACCGCAUACGUCCUACGGGAGAAAGCAGGGGACCUUCGGGCCUUGCGCUAUCAGAUGAGCCUAGGUCGGAUUAGCUAGUUGGUGGGGUAAUGGCUCACCAAGGCGACGAUCCGUAACUGGUCUGAGAGGAUGAUCAGUCACACUGGAACUGAGACACGGUCCAGACUCCUACGGGAGGCAGCAGUGGGGAAUAUUGGACAAUGGGCGAAAGCCUGAUCCAGCCAUGCCGCGUGUGUGAAGAAGGUCUUCGGAUUGUAAAGCACUUUAAGUUGGGAGGAAGGGCAGUUACCUAAUACGUAUCUGUUUUGACGUUACCGACAGAAUAAGCACCGGCUAACUCUGUGCCAGCAGCCGCGGUAAUACAGAGGGUGCAAGCGUUAAUCGGAAUUACUGGGCGUAAAGCGCGCGUAGGUGGUUUGUUAAGUUGAAUGUGAAAUCCCCGGGCUCAACCUGGGAACUGCAUGCAAAACUGCCAAGCUAGAGUAUGGUAGAGGGUGGUGGAAUUUCCUGUGUAGCGGUGAAAUGCGUAGAUAUAGGAAGGAACACCAGUGGCGAAGGCGACCACCUGGACUGAUACUGACACUGAGGUGCGAAAGCGUGGGGAGCAAAC